This 72-nucleotide transfer RNA is filed under the name Bos taurus (domestic cattle). It matches the Rfam family "tRNA". From Rfam's summary of the family: Transfer RNA (tRNA) molecules are approximately 80 nucleotides in length. Their secondary structure includes four short double-helical elements and three loops (D, anti-codon, and T loops). The record is from Rfam by way of RNAcentral. RNAcentral also lists the same sequence under 4 other names. Lineage: Eukaryota; Metazoa; Chordata; Mammalia; Artiodactyla; Bovidae.
UCCCUCAUAGCUCAGUUGGUAAAGAAUCUGCCUGCAAUGCAGGAGACCCUGGAUUGAUUCCUGGGUGGGGAA